GGCUAGUAUGAUGGUUUGACAAGAAUGUGACUGUCUCCUUAUAAUUUAAUAGAACUUUAUUUAUAGGCGAAGAAGCCUAUUUAAAAUUAAAAGACGAGAAGACCCUAUCGAGCUUUAAAGAAAUAAGUAGACUUAAUUCCUAUUACCUAAAAAGAUAAACUACUAUAAAUUUUAGUUGGGGUGAUCGAGGAAUAUAAAAAGCUUCCUUUAUAUUCUAUAAAACCGGCAAGUAUUGAUCCAAAAUAUUUUGAUCAAAGAAAUUAGUUACCGUAGGGAUAACAGCAUUAUCUUUUUUGAGAGCUCCUAUCGAAAAAAAGGUUUGUGACCUCGAUGUUGGACCAGAAUAUCCUAAAGAUGCAACCGUCUUUAAGGGUUGGUCUGUUCGACCAUUAAAAUUCUACGUGAUCUGAG
Molecule: ribosomal RNA, 411 nt
Filed under: Mohnia dalli
Lineage: Eukaryota; Metazoa; Mollusca; Gastropoda; Neogastropoda; Buccinidae
Description: Turrisipho dalli partial large subunit ribosomal RNA
Rfam family: Bacterial large subunit ribosomal RNA
Source: RNAcentral